This 253-nucleotide ribosomal RNA is filed under the name uncultured bacterium. RNAcentral describes it as "partial 16S ribosomal RNA". It matches the Rfam family "Bacterial small subunit ribosomal RNA", at positions 524 to 776 of the family's 1533-position model. The record is from RNAcentral.
UACGAAGGGGGCGAGCGUUGUUCGGAUUUACUGGGCGUAAAGGGCGCGUAGGCGGCCCGCUAAGUCGAACGUGAAAUCCCUGGGCUCAACCCAGGAACUGCGUCCGAUACUGGCAGGCUUGAAUCCGGGAGAGGGAUGUGGAAUUCCAGGUGUAGCGGUGAAAUGCGUAGAUAUCUGGAGGAACACCGGUGGCGAAGGCGGCAUCCUGGACCGGUAUUGACGCUGAUGCGCGAAAGCCAGGGGAGCAAACGGG